AGCAGCCGCGGUAAUUCCAGCUCCAAUAGCGUAUAUUAAAGUUGUUGCAGUUAAAAAGCUCGUAGUUGAAUUUCGGGGUUAGUAGGUUGGUCAUGCCUCUGGUAUGUACUGGUCUCACUGAUUCCUCCUUCCUGAUGAACCGUAAUGCCAUUAAUUUGGUGUUGCGGGGAAUUUGGACUGUUACUUUGAAAAAUUAGAGUGUUUAAAGCAAGCUAACGCUUGAAUACAUUAGCAUGGAAUAAUGAAAUAGGACGUUCGAUCCUAUUUUGUUGGUUUCUAGGAUUUGACGUAAUGAUUAAUAGGGAUAGUUGGGGGCAUUAGUAUUCAAUUGUCAGAGGUGAAAUUCUUGGAUUUAUUGAAGACUAACUACUGCGAAAGCAUUUGCCAAGGAU
Molecule: ribosomal RNA, 392 nt
Filed under: Glomus sp. 1 FW-2016
Lineage: Eukaryota; Fungi; Glomeromycota; Glomeromycetes; Glomerales; Glomeraceae
Description: SSU rRNA
Rfam family: Eukaryotic small subunit ribosomal RNA
Source: RNAcentral